This 603-nucleotide long non-coding RNA is filed under the name Mus caroli (Ryukyu mouse). RNAcentral describes it as "lncRNA (MGP_CAROLIEiJ_G0004692.1)". The record is from RNAcentral. Lineage: Eukaryota; Metazoa; Chordata; Mammalia; Rodentia; Muridae.
AGAUGAAGUUAGCCUUCUCAGCUAGCCUUUAGAUUUGUCUGUUAACAGUAGAAAUGCUAUAAUAAAUCGGUAACAUAUGUUGCCAGGCAGGGAAAAGUGGUAGACAAGAGCCUGGGAGACCAAGCCAAGUACCAUGUGAAAGAAUUCAAAUUUCAAUCUAUUUGCUGCUAAUUACCAUCUGAAAAGUAAUUUGAAAGUGUUGUUACUUGCUUAUACUCUUCCUCAUUUUUCUUUCUUUCUUUCUUUUUUUUCUCUUCAGAUUGCUUUCUUACCCAAAUUAUCUCCGUGAUUGCCUGCCCUGAGGCUUUGGGCCAAUGCAAACUACAGAAUGGCAAGUCUUACAAUCUCGUCUCCUUGUCUGGCAUCCAUCCUCCUUCCAGAAUGAACAGAGGUAUAUCCAUAAACACUGGACCUCGAUUUCACAGCCUCAUCCAAAGCCAGGCAAUUCUUGAGGCAAACAAACAAAGGGGUGUGAGUGAUUUCAUUUAUUUUGAUAAUCCUCUGUCUGCACAGGGGCACUUUGCUGUCUUUGUCAAAGUGAAUGACAACAAUUUGGCCAACUCUCUCUGAGCUGCACUCAACAGUGACAGGCAAAUUAUCAGA